This is a long non-coding RNA of Vespula pensylvanica (western yellowjacket), 1952 nucleotides long. RefSeq lists it as uncharacterized. The transcript has 2 exons. Lineage: Eukaryota; Metazoa; Arthropoda; Insecta; Hymenoptera; Vespidae. The record is from RefSeq and is a predicted model, not a curated record.
UAUUAUUAUUAUUAUUAUUAUUAUUAUUAUUAUUAUUAUUAUUAUUAUUACUAUUACUAUUAUUAUUAUAUUAAUAUUAUAUUAAUAUUAUUAUAUGGACACGGUACAACAAGUAGUAUGUGCAUUUUCCAGCACAGAUAGUUGGUAUUUUGUGUACAAAAGUGAAAUUGAAAAUAAUUGUUGAACAUUCAUGUCGAGAACGCUCACACUGAGCCUUCAUAGAAAUAUUCGUUUAGGAAACAUAAUAAAUCGAAAGGAAAGAAAGAUCCAGUGACAAAGUUCUUAAGCGGUAGAAAGAAAGAAGAAGGAAUGACAAAAUUAAAAGAGGAAUAGAAGAACUAAAUUCACUCAAUCUUAAUGUGAAAUGAUCGACAAGUCACGAAUUCGUUCAAGCAUUCGAUCAAUGCAAAACAAAUCGAUAAUGAUUAAUUCGCGAAGCAUUAUUGGUAUUAAAUUUAUACGCAAGUAAAUAAAUAAGACGUGUACAUUCAGUUCUGAAAAUCAGCUUUGUCCUUCCUUUUUUUUUAAUCGACGUAAAUACAUACAUAUGUUCUUCGAUAAAAAGCGUUCCGAACGCUCAUCGCUUCUCUCUUUCUUCGCAUUUCGUGUUAUGCAAAAUGUUGAAAUAUCCUUUAUAAAUUAAUAUUGGAACUCAAUCAAUGCGAUGUUCCUUUAUUUACCAUUUCUAUCAAACUAUUCUCAUGGUAAUUCGAAUUAUCCGUCAAUUUUCAACUACUUUUUGUAUUUUAGUUUAGGCGAAUUUCACAGACUUUUACAGGCGAUGCCUCAUUGCUUAGUAGUUGUGUUUUCGAAUCGGCCAUGAUUUGCUUGUAAAUAAUGCUGAGAAAAAAGAGAAGAAGAUGAAAACAAAAAAAAAAAUGUAAGAAUUUCACAACGCUAUUUCAUCUAUUAAUAAUUCCGUUAUUGUGUGCAGAACGAAUAAGGUAUGUACUCGUGGUUAUUAAUAAUGAAUCGAUUGCGGACUAUAAAAAGGAAGAAAAUUCACGAUCCUCGUCCAUUAUAUGGACGGACGUGUUUGUUGUAUUAUAUCUUACUAUUAAUGAUUAAUAUCGAUAAGAAAAUUAACAAACAAUAAGGAUAUAUAAUAAUUUAAGGUGAUGGAAAAAAGGUGUGUGUUAAGGGAUCGACAGCUAUUGAUACUUGAAGUCUACAUUUUUUCCUAAAUAUUACGAAGGGAAGAGAAGGAAGAGAGCACCCAAGGCAUGUCAAGAUCUCUUUUUGCGAAAUGCGUAGAAACAUAAGAAAAAAAAAGAAGAAAAAUAAACCACCAGAAUGUUCGCACUUGCUGUCCGACUCGAAGAUACACCCGGAGAUUUUUACCAAAAAGACUACCGUACGUCGUGGAUUUAGGCAAUUUUAACAAACUGGUUUUUUUUUUUUUAUAUGUUUUAUUUUUAUUUUUAUCUACCGAAAAUUCUCCACACAAAAGAAUGAGAGAAUGGUCAGAGGAGAUGCAUCUGUGUGAGGAAGCGAUCUUGUACUGCGAAAAAUUUCUUCAUGUGGGAGACGAAGAAAAAAACACGAACUCGUGACGUUCGAGAGAAAGAUGAAAGGAAAGAGGAAUGGCGAUAAGGCUACCUCGUCCGGCUAAAAGAAGAAAAAAGAGACAAAACGCAUGUGGAUUUACAAUAUAUAAAUAGAACAAAUUGAUGAAAUGAUAAACAAACAACAGCAUUAACAAGAAUUAACAAAUGUAUCUUGCGUUCUCCUUAGAUUGAUUUUGAAAGAAGAAAAAAGAAAAAAAGAAAAAGAUGCUAUGUUUUUUCGGUUAAAAUCCAAUAUGUUUUUUGUUGUUAGUUCGUACGUACUAUGAUCUAUUACAAUUUAUUGUAUUAUCGACGAGAUACUGUAACAAACAAAAAUACUGUUAACUAUUCUUAAAAAAAAUUAAAACUUUUGUAAACUGAAAUUAAAUGUCUGUGAAAAUACGA